CUCGUAGGCGGCCUGUCGCGUCUGGUGUGAAAGCCCGUGGCUUAACUGCGGGUCUGCGCUGGAUACGGGCGGGCUAGAGUGCGGUAGGGGAGAUGGGAAUUCCUGGUGUAGCGGUGGAAUGCGCAGAUAUCAGGAGGAACACCAAUGGCGAAGGCACAUCUCUGGGCCGUAACUGACGCUGAGGAGCGAAAGCGUGGGGAGCGAACAGGAUUAGAUACCCCAGUA
This 225-nucleotide ribosomal RNA is filed under the name uncultured Aeriscardovia sp. RNAcentral describes it as "partial 16S ribosomal RNA". It matches the Rfam family "Bacterial small subunit ribosomal RNA", at positions 568 to 792 of the family's 1533-position model. Lineage: Bacteria; Bacillati; Actinomycetota; Actinomycetes; Bifidobacteriales; Bifidobacteriaceae. The record is from RNAcentral.